CCUAUCAUGCAGUCGAGCGGACAGAAGGGAGCUUGCUCCCGGAUGUUAGCGGCGGACGGGUGAGUAACACGUGGGUAACCUGCCUGUAAGACUGGGAUAACUCCGGGAAACCGGAGCUAAUACCGGAUAGUUCCUUGAACCGCAUGGUUCAAGGAUGAAAGACGGUUUCGGCUGUCACUUACAGAUGGACCCGCGGCGCAUUAGCUAGUUGGUGAGGUAACGGCUCACCAAGGCGACGAUGCGUAGCCGACCUGAGAGGGUGAUCGGCCACACUGGGACUGAGACACGGCCCAGACUCCUACGGGAGGCAGCAGUAGGGAAUCUUCCGCAAUGGACGAAAGUCUGACGGAGCAACGCCGCGUGAGUGAUGAAGGUUUUCGGAUCGUAAAGCUCUGUUGUUAGGGAAGAACAAGUGCAAGAGUAACUGCUUGCACCUUGACGGUACCUAACCAGAAAGCCACGGCUAACUACGUGCCAGCAGCCGCGGUAAUACGUAGGUGGCAAGCGUUGUCCGGAAUUAUUGGGCGUAAAGGGCUCGCAGGCGGUUUCUUAAGUCUGAUGUGAAAGCCCCCGGCUCAACCGGGGAGGGUCAUUGGAAACUGGGAAACUUGAGUGCAGAAGAGGAGAGUGGAAUUCCACGUGUAGCGGUGAAAUGCGUAGAGAUGUGGAGGAACACCAGUGGCGAAGGCGACUCUCUGGUCUGUAACUGACGCUGAGGAGCGAAAGCGUGGGGAGCGAACAGGAUUAGAUACCCUGGUAGUCCACGCCGUAAACGAUGAGUGCUAAGUGUUAGGGGGUUUCCGCCCCUUAGUGCUGCAGCUAACGCAUUAAGCACUCCGCCUGG
Molecule: ribosomal RNA, 844 nt
Filed under: Bacillus pumilus
Lineage: Bacteria; Bacillati; Bacillota; Bacilli; Caryophanales; Bacillaceae
Description: bacterial SSU rRNA
Rfam family: Bacterial small subunit ribosomal RNA
Source: RNAcentral